Molecule: non-coding RNA, 332 nt
Organism: Pelobates cultripes (western spadefoot toad)
Lineage: Eukaryota; Metazoa; Chordata; Amphibia; Anura; Pelobatidae
Source: the annotation of a GenBank genome assembly
AGGAAUCUCAUAAGGAUGGCAAUGAGAAUGGGCUUGUAGUAGUACGGGAGUUUGAUUUCAGCCCACGACAAAGAGUGAGUCUAGAGGAUGGAAAUGGACUUCAUGAGACAUCAGUGAUUAAGACCAUGAGGAGCCAGGGAAGGCCUAGGCAGAACAGGGACAUGUAAGUGUGAGGGUAGCGUACACAGAGGAAUGUGGUAAAGUGGUCCUGGGGCAGUGAGUCGUGUAGUAAGGGGUAGAUGGGUGGGGUAGUAUAAAUAGGUUGCCAUCUUACAUGAUAGCAGUCAUCUUAAUUAUCAGUUGGUAACAGCUUGGUAAUUGUUGGUUGUUGC